GACGAACGCUGGCGGCGUGCUUUACACAUGCAAGUCGAACGGAAAGACCCUGCUUUUGUGGGGUGCUCGAGUGGCGAACGGGUGAGUAACACGUGAGUAACCUGCCCUUGACUUUGGGAUAACUUCAGGAAACUGGGGCUAAUACCGGAUAGGAGCUCCUGCUGCAUGGUGGGGGUUGGAAAGUUUCGGCGGUUGGGGAUGGACUCGCGGCUUAUCAGCUUGUUGGUGGGGUAGUGGCUUACCAAGGCUUUGACGGGUAGCCGGCCUGAGAGGGUGACCGGCCACAUUGGGACUGAGAUACGGCCCAGACUCCUACGGGAGGCAGCAGUGGGGAAUAUUGCACAAUGGGCGGAAGCCUGAUGCAGCAACGCCGCGUGCGGGAUGACGGCCUUCGGGUUGUAAACCGCUUUCGCCUGUGACGAAGCGUGAGUGACGGUAAUGGGUAAAGAAGCACCGGCUAACUACGUG
Molecule: ribosomal RNA, 468 nt
Filed under: uncultured bacterium
Lineage: Bacteria
Description: partial 16S ribosomal RNA
Rfam family: Bacterial small subunit ribosomal RNA
Source: RNAcentral